UGAAUACGAGAUGCUACGGCGUCGAAGCAGUGUAUGUCAGACUUCCAAGAAAAGCUCGCAAUGUCAUAAAUAAAGAAUGCCUGUACCAUAACCGACACAGGUGGGUAGGUAGAGUAUACUAAGGGGCGCGAGAUAACUCUCUCUAAGGAACUCGGCAAAAUAACUCCGUAACUUCGGGAGAAGGAGUGCCUUCUUUAAGAAGGUUGCAAUAACAAGAUCCAAGCAACUGUUUAUCAAAAACACAGGUCUCCGCUAAGUCGUAAGACGAUGUAUGGGGGCUGACGCCUGCCCAGUGCCAGAAGGUUAAAGAAGUUGGUUAGCUUUUGCGAAGCUGAUGACUGAAGCCCUGGUGAACGGCGGCCGUAACUAUAACGGUCCUAAGGUAGCGAAAUUCCUUGUCGGGUAAGUUCCGACCCGCACGAAAGGCGUAAUGAUUUGGAUACUGUCUCGGAGAGGGACUCGGUGAAAUAGACUUGUCUGUGAAGAUGCGGACUACCUGCACCAGGACAGAAAGACCCUAUGAAGCUUUACUGUAACUUGAAAUUGAAAUUGGACUUUAUUUGCGCAGUAUAGGUGGAAGGCGUUGAAAGUAAUCUUGCGGGAUUAGUGGAGCCAUCAGUGAGAUACCACUCCUAUAAUGUUAGAUUUCUAACUUUGGAUCAUGAUCUGGUCAAAGAACAGUUUCAGGCGGGCAGUUUGACUGGGGCGGUCGCCUCCCAAAUGGUAACGGAGGCGUACAAAGGUUUCCUCUGAACGGGUAGAAAUCGUAUCUAGAGUGUAAAGGCAUAAGGAAGCUUGACUGUGAGACCUACAAGUCGAGCAGGGACGAAAGUCGGUCUUAGUGAUCUGACGGUGCUGAGUGGAAAGGCCGUCACUCAACGGAUAAAAGUUACUCUAGGAUAACAGGCUGAUCUCCCCCAAGAGUUCACAUCGACGGGGAGGUUUGGCACCUGGAUGUCGGCUCAUCGCAUCCUGGGGCGGUAGUACGUCCCAAGGGUUGGGCUGUUCGCCCAUGAAAGCGGUACGCGAGCUGGGUUCAGAACGUCGUGAGACAGUUCGGUCCAUAUCCGGUGUAGGCGUUAGAAUAUUGAGAGGAGCCUUCUUUAGUACGAGAGGACCGAGAAGGACAUACCUCUGGUGUACCAGUUAUCGUGCCAACGGUAAACGCUGGGUAGCUAUGUAUGGAGAGGAUAACCGCUGAAAGCAUCUAAGUGGGAAGCCCACCUCAAGAUGAG
RNAcentral lists this ribosomal RNA (1235 nucleotides) under metagenome. RNAcentral describes it as "bacterial LSU rRNA". It matches the Rfam family "Bacterial large subunit ribosomal RNA", at positions 1564 to 2808 of the family's 2925-position model. The record is from RNAcentral.